RNAcentral lists this ribosomal RNA (465 nucleotides) under uncultured bacterium. RNAcentral describes it as "partial 16S ribosomal RNA". It matches the Rfam family "Bacterial small subunit ribosomal RNA", at positions 28 to 507 of the family's 1533-position model. The record is from RNAcentral.
GACGAACGCUGGCGGCGUGCUUAACACAUGCAAGUCGAACGGAAAGGCCCCCUUGUGGGGUACUCGAGUGGCGAACGGGUGAGUAACUCGUGAGUAACCUACCCUUGACUUUGGGAUAACUUCAGGAAACUGGGGCUAAUACCGGAUAGGAGCUCCUGCUGCAUGGUGGGGGUUGGAAAGUUUCGGCGGUUGGGGAUGGACUCGCGGCUUAUCAGCUUGUUGGUGGGGUAGUGGCUCACCAAGGCUUUGACGGGUAGCCGGCCUGAGAGGGUGCCCGGCCACAUGGGUACUGAGGUACGGACCAGACGGCAACGGGAGGCAGCAGUGGGGAGUAUUGCACAAUGGGCGGAAGUCUGAGGCAGCAACGCCGCGUGCGGAAUGACGGCCUUCGGGUUGUAAACCGCUUUCGCCUGUUACGAAGCGUGAGUGACGGUAGUGGGUAAAGAAGCACCGGCUAACUACGUG